Molecule: ribosomal RNA, 795 nt
Filed under: Triticum aestivum (bread wheat)
Lineage: Eukaryota; Viridiplantae; Streptophyta; Magnoliopsida; Poales; Poaceae
Description: partial small subunit ribosomal RNA
Source: RNAcentral
AUGGCGCGAUGCGUAUGGGCAUUGGGUGAUGAAGAGCUCCUCGAGCAUGUGAUAUCAAACCAGAACACUGAUGCACGUCUAUGGCUGUUUUGGCUGUUCGAAUCAACAAGCCAACGUGAUUUAACUCGGGUUCUAGUGACAAUGUGGGCAAUUUGGUGGGCGCGCCGAAAAGCAAUCCAUGAGAACGAGUUUCAAAGCCCUUUGUCAACCAUGAGUUUCAUCAGGCUCUUCUUGGAGGAUUUGGAUAUUGUUGAAUCCCAAAAGUCGCGACCGGUGCCGCUGCCUGCUGCUCCGAGAGCACGUACAUGGCUGCCGCCCGAGGGUGAAGCGGUGAAGUUUAACUGUGAUGGUGCAUUAUCAAUCCUAGGCGAUAAGGGAGCGGCGGCCGUGAUUUGUCGAGACAAGUCAGGGAAGUUUCUUGGAGCAUCAGCACUAGUCUUUGAGGGCUUGAUCGACCCGGCGAGUUUGGAGGCGCAUGCGUGCAGUGAGGCACUUGCCCUUGCUCGCGAUCUGAAUGUGCAGGAGUUGGUGAUCGCGUCUGAUUGUUUAGAACUGGUCUCAAAUAUCAACACACAAGCAUCACCAGUGUAUGCGCCUAUUCUGCAGGAUAUACACAUUAGCAUGAACCUUUUCGCUUCAGUUAUUUUUCGUUUUGAGCGUAGAGAAAAUAAUUUCGAGGCCCACUCGGUUGCAAAAGGAGCCGCGUCUCUGCCGGUGGGCCGCCACGUGUGGCUAGGGAUCCUUCCUGAUAUUGCUUGUAUUCCGAAUGUGAUGAACUUUGAAAAAAGCUUGUAG